GGAAAGGUGGCAGAGCGGUUGAAUGCAUCGGUUUUGAAAACCGACGUAGUUGCGAGACUACCGGGGGUUCGAAUCCCCCCCUUUCCG
Non-coding RNA from Chlorella variabilis, 87 nucleotides. Lineage: Eukaryota; Viridiplantae; Chlorophyta; Trebouxiophyceae; Chlorellales; Chlorellaceae. The record is from Rfam.